Molecule: ribosomal RNA, 448 nt
Filed under: uncultured bacterium
Lineage: Bacteria
Description: partial 16S ribosomal RNA
Rfam family: Bacterial small subunit ribosomal RNA
Source: RNAcentral
AACGAACGCUGGCGGCACGCCUAACACAUGCAAGUCGAACGAAGCCUUCGGGCUUAGUGGCGCACGGGUGCGUAACGCGUGGGAAUCUGCCCUUGGGUUCGGAAUAACAGUUAGAAAUGACUGCUAAUACCGGAUGAUGUCUUCGGACCAAAGAUUUAUCGCCCGAGCAUGAGCCCGCGUCGGAUUAGGUAGUUGGUGGGGUAAUGGCCCGCCAAGCCGACGAACCUUGGCUCGUCUGAGAGGGUGACCAGGCACACUGGGACUGAGACACGGCCCAGACUCCUACGGGAGGCAGCAGUGGGGAAUAUUGGACAAUGGGCGAAAGCCUGAUCAGCAAUGCCGCGUGAGUGAUGAAGGCCUUAGGGUUGUAAAGCUCUUUUACCAGGGAUGAUAAUGACAGUACCUGGAGAAUAAGCUCCGGCUAACUCCGUGCCAGCCGCCGCGGUAA